Molecule: ribosomal RNA, 254 nt
Filed under: uncultured bacterium
Lineage: Bacteria
Description: partial 16S ribosomal RNA
Rfam family: Bacterial small subunit ribosomal RNA
Source: RNAcentral
UACGGGGGGGGCAAGCGUUGUUCGGAAUUACUGGGCGUAAAGGGCUCGUAGGCGGCCAACUAAGUCAUACGUGAAAUCCCUCGGCUUAACCGGGGAACGUGCGUCUGAUACUGGAUGGCUUGAGUUCGGGAGAGGGAUGCGGAAUUCCAGGUGUAGCGGUGAAAUGCGUAGAUAUCUGGAGGAACACCGGUGGCGAAGGCGGCAUCCUGGACCGAUACUGACGCUGAGGAGCGAAAGCCAGGGGAGCAAACGGG